GCCCGGGUGGCGGAAUUGGUAGACGCGUCGGUCUCAAAAACCGAUGAGUUCACACUCUUGCGGGUUCGAGUCCCGCCUCGGGUA
Molecule: transfer RNA, 84 nt
Filed under: Chloroflexus sp.
Lineage: Bacteria; Bacillati; Chloroflexota; Chloroflexia; Chloroflexales; Chloroflexaceae
Also listed under: 2 other names
Description: tRNA-Leu
Rfam family: tRNA
About the family: Transfer RNA (tRNA) molecules are approximately 80 nucleotides in length. Their secondary structure includes four short double-helical elements and three loops (D, anti-codon, and T loops).
Source: RNAcentral